UCCAGCUUAUCACUGGCAGUUUUCCUAGAGUUCCCGGCAUUACCCGUUGGCAACUAAGAAUGAGGGUUGCGCUCGUUGCGGGACUUAACCCAACAUCUCACGACACGAGCUGACGACAGCCAUGCAACACCUGUGUGUGGUCCGGCCGAACCGAAGGAUUCCAUCUCUGGAUUCCGCGACCACCAUGUCAAAAGUUGGUAAGGUUUUUCGCGUGACAUCGAAUUAAACCGCAUGCUCCACUGCUUGUGCGGGCCCCCGUCAAUUCCGUUUGAGUUUUAAUCUUGCGACCUUACUCCCCAGGCGGAGUGCUUAAUGCGUUAGCUGCAACACCGAGAAUAAAUCCCGAUAUCUAGCACUCAUCGUUUACAGCGUGGACUAC
RNAcentral lists this unclassified non-coding RNA (379 nucleotides) under uncultured Alphaproteobacteria bacterium. RNAcentral's name for it is "contains 16S-23S intergenic spacer region". Lineage: Bacteria; Pseudomonadati; Pseudomonadota; Alphaproteobacteria. The record is from RNAcentral.